AUGAUCCUGUGGCUGAAUUUGGUGCCCUUGUUAGUGCUACUUCAAGGAGUUCGAUCUGAGGUCCAGUUAGUGGAGUCCAGAGGGGAUGUGAGAAGACCUGGGGAGUCCCUCCGUCUCUCCUGCCAAGCUUCUGGAUUCACCUUCAGCGACUAUGGGAUGCACUGGGUGAGACAGGCUCCUGGGAAAGGACUGGAAUGGGUAGCCACCAUACGUACAAGAUCAUCUCCUUUAACUCACUACCCAGACAAAUUCAAGGAACGCUUCACAAUCUCCAGUGACGAUUCUCGCAGCCAGCUGUAUCUGCAAAUGAACAGCCUCAAACUAGAGGAUUCUGCAGUUUAUUACUGUGUGAGACACACACAGUGA
Molecule: non-coding RNA, 366 nt
Organism: Thamnophis elegans (Western terrestrial garter snake)
Lineage: Eukaryota; Metazoa; Chordata; Lepidosauria; Squamata; Natricidae
Source: the annotation of a RefSeq genome assembly